GACGAACGCUGGCGGCGUGCUUAACACAUGCAAGUCGAACGGUGAACCGGAGCUUGCUCUGGGGAUCAGUGGCGAACGGGUGAGUAACACGUGGGCAACCUGCCCCAGACUCUGGGAUAACCCCGGGAAACCGGAGCUAAUACCGGAUAUGACCACUUCGGACAUCCGAUGGUGGUGGAAAGUUUUUCGGUCUGGGAUGGGCCCGCGGCCUAUCAGCUAGUUGGUGGGGUAAUGGCCUACCAAGGCGACGACGGGUAGCCGGCCUGAGAGGGCGACCGGCCACACUGGAACUGAGACACGGUCCAGACUCCUACGGGAGGCAGCAGUGGGGAAUAUUGCACAAUGGGCGAAAGCCUGAUGCAGCGACGCCGCGUGAGGGACGACGGCCUCGGUGUAACGUACUUCUACGCAGGACGGAAGACGAACGUAGACUGUA
This 436-nucleotide ribosomal RNA is filed under the name uncultured bacterium. Its description in RNAcentral is "bacterial SSU rRNA". It matches the Rfam family "Bacterial small subunit ribosomal RNA", at positions 28 to 463 of the family's 1533-position model. The record is from RNAcentral.